AGCAAACUGAGGAGGGAGCUGCGUCAAACACACAGCUCUCCCAGACAGCUCAGCACCACACACGCUGGGAGCAGGUCUGAACACAGCUCGAUGGCAGUUCUCUGCUCGGCCUGCCAAGGCUCCAGCUCCAAACUGCUUCUCGGCAUCCUCCACCUUCUUUUUGAAAAGUAACAAAGACAUCUGAUUUCCUCCCACCCCUUCUCUGCGCGCCCCUCUGCUCCCUCCCUCCCCCUCCCUGGCACUGGGGUUAUUUAUACAGAAUGUGGAAACAAUUUGCAGGAAAGCGAACAAUGUAACCCAGAGUGAGGAAGGGAGACAAGUUUAUUGUGCACGCUGAGGGGCCUAGAAGCAAGGCACUGCGCUUUUGGGGUGAGAGGGAGCGGGCUGUUUUCCCUUCUUUCUGCUCCCCUCUUUCAGUGUCUGACUGCGUCACUUUGUCUUGCCAGAGCCAGGUCCAAACCAGAGCAACCAGAUCUGACUGCGUGAUUUGGAGGAAGUUCAGGUUGGAUCCCCUCCCUGCACCAAAGCUUGUGCUUAAUCCUCUCAGAGGUUUUGCUCUCGGAUCAUUUCUGCUCCCGGGUUAGCAUUAAUGAAGAGCAUGUGUGCUGAGAGGUCCUGAUCCAGGCCCUGAGAGCUACAGCACUGCUGCAGGCACUGUUUUAUGCCGGGGUGUUGCACCUAGCUGUUCAGAGGAAUAGCUAGGCUGAACGAGAAGAUUCCCCGAGAGUGAACGAGGCAGAAGCUUUGUGCAAAGUGUGAUUUCAUUCCUCCUUCCCUUGCCCCCUAAGGGUGAAGUUUUCAGAGCACCCCUGCACCUUGUUAGCACAGAUGUGAAAGCAUCUUUGUAAAUCUAGCAGUUUGCUUUGGUGCCCACCACAGAGCUGAGCUCUGCUGAAACUUGGGAACAAAGCACGUGCGCUUCUCAGAGGUGCGGGUGCCCUUUGUCCGUGGGUGUAAGCUGAGCCAGCAUUUCAUCCAGUAGCCUUGAGCAGCUCUGAGGUCUUCAGAUCUCCCUCUGCACGGGGCCCAGUUACCAUAAAGUGCUAAAAAAGAGGUAAUCCAAGCCCACUCAUGUGUUGAAAAGGGCACGUUAGUGUUGCAGAGGGAAGGAGAGGUUCUCCACAGGUUGCACAUCUGAGCAGAGCAGCUGCCUUGGCAAGCUCCUCCCUUCCCAGGAGCUUACAGCUUCUUUUCUCAAUAGCCUCAAGACUUGGGCCGUGAUCUGUGCAAGUUGUGCUGAGCUGAGCUGGUGGGGCAGAGUCAGGAAGCUGCCAACUGGGGCAUCGUGUUCCUCCCUAAACCGGGCAAAUUUCUGACCCUGAACUGGUGGAGUUUGGUGACCCGACAGCACAGGAGGGAGCCAUGUGCAGAGGGACAAUUAGAAGGAACCUGCAGUGGGUUCUUCCGCCCUGAGAUCUCACCCUCUCCACCUCCAGUAUUUCCUUCUCCUUCUCAGUCUUUGUCCAUACACAGAGUGCGAACUUCCAGUGUGUGUGUGUCCUGUAAAAUUUGCAUCUGCUCUGCCACACAGAGUGGCAAAUGUCUCCGCGGGCACGCUGACCCUUCUGAAACUAGGGACACAGCAUGGAUACCAUCCCAAAUGCUGUAGCUGAUCCCUUCCUUUAGCCAGUUCUUGGCCCAAAUUAGCAAAUUUUGCUGAAAAACACAGCACAGGGCAGGAGUGAGGUUAUUCUGGUCCCCGCUGUUUUCUGAUGUGAUCUCAUCAGGGGCAGUUCAGCUCCUCUCUUUGGGGUCUGCUAGUUUUCCUUAACUCUCAGAAGGGCCAGAAGCAGCAAUGGUUUCUGUUUUCUCUUCCAAGCCAGGCACCAACAUUGUGAAGCCCACAGCUGGGAGCAAAGAGUGACUGCCACCUUCUGCUGCUCCCCGUCAGCCAAGGCAGUGCCCAGACAUCACAGCGCAGACCCUCUCCACCAUGUGAGCCAGGCGCAGAGGCUGUGGCACAAAGAAACACGGGGUUUGGAGGCAUUCACUCUAUCUGCACCCGCCUCUGCUAGCACAGCGUGCUCCCCGACCUGUCUGCCUCCCAUCCAUGCAGCUGCCUCUCACAGAGCCUGUGGAUGUCUGCAGCAGCCUGCCCAGGCUUGUCGCACGGUGUGCUUAGCUGACUAGCAGCGUGCUGGGCUACGGAGAGCAUUUCAGUGCCAUAAGACUCUGGAGGGCCCCCUCUGGUCCCUCCUGCAGCUGUGCUUAUCUCGGGCUCUUAGGAGAGCAGCUCUGGUUUUGAGGGCACUCCACUGAAGACGGUAUGGGCAGACAGGUGUCCAGUCUCUUUCUGACUCCCAAGGUCCCCCUUUUAUCCCUGGAAAUGUGGCCUUGAGUUAAACUGCAUGGAGAACUCUGAACUAAGCAGCUCACAGCAGCUGUACAGGUUUGGGCAAAGUGGAGUCUUGUACCUCUACCUUGAGAGACUUGGAAAUGCAGAGAGCUGCAGUGUAAUUUCAGGAAAACAGUCACUGCAGCACAUGUUUUUCCCUUUCUGGUUUGAUUCUAAAUGUAUAAAUUCUCGUAAUUUGGGUCUCUCCUUGGAACAAUUGUGGUGCUGAAGCCAUCCUUAGCUUUUGGGAAUUUCCUUUGUCAUCUUGUUCUUGUUUAUGUUAUUUUUAGGACUAUUUAGAGGAAAACAUAUUUGUAUUCUUCGUUUCAUGCUGCUUGCUUACCACCUGAAUUUCUCAUCUGCUCUUUGCAGUUCCCAGCACAACUGUGAGCAAUAUCCCGAGCAGAGCAUUCCAGCUUCAGGUGGAGAAAAGCAACAGAAGCAGAUGGGCUUGUAAACAGCAGAGAGCCGGCUGUCCCGCAGAGGUCCUUGCAGAACAGAGAGGAGCAGAAGGGGAGCCGCGUGUGGCUGCACAUGUUCCAUUAGUGGAGUGCUGGUGAAGAGAAGCAGGGUGCUUCAGCCCCGUGUGGAGGUGUGGGGAGCAGCUCUGUCGGUCCUGCUGCCUCUGCUCUCGCAGGUGUGCCGCGGGGACAGUCGCAGGGGAGCUGGGAAGAAAAGCCUGGCGCUGACACAGCCUGUCCAGGGCCUCCAGCUCAGGUGAUGACAAAGCUCUGAGUGCUUCUAGCUGCCCUGAGAAGCAGCACAUGAACUGUUUCCUGAAGGAAUACAGAUCCCUGGCUGCAUAAAGGCUGGUUUUCCUUGUCCUUCGCUCACCCUGUGUGUAAUAGAGCCUAGGAGUGAUGCAAUCAGGCAUACUUCUUCCCUGUUAGAGGGCUGGGGACUCCUUCUGUUUUUACUUUUCUUUCAUGCUUGGGCACGACCCUCUUUCCUGUCAUUUCUGGCUGCUCUUUGCUUACUGAUGAACCCUGGGGGGUUCAGUUGCUUAGUUUAGAGCCAGGAAAUGAAUGAAGAAGGGCAGGAGAAGAAAGAAAACAGAAUAAGGAGACUCACUUCCAUAGUUUAUUGGGCCCAGAGAGAUUUCUAUAAACCACAUGGUAUCAGGUGUAAAAGAAAUGAAAGAUGAUAACCAAUGUGGAAGACUGGAGCAGCCCAAACCUCCCACAGCCCGGUGAGUCUCCAGAAAUGUUGGCAAGGCUUAAACAGCAAUUUACUCUAGCUGCAGGCAAAGAGCAGCCCCUCCACCUUGUUCGUGUCAAGGAGAGGUCCUGAUUCAUGGGAUCUGUUUUUAUUUCCUCUGUCAGGGAGACUACUGUGGAUCCUGAGGAGUGUAGCAGUCACCGAGAUAAGAGACCAGUGAAAGAUGGUUCCAGGUGAGGAUUUUAGAGAGAUUUGUGUUUGAUUUAAGGUUGAAGAGUUGAUAUUUCUAUUGUUGGUGGAGACUGGGAGGGGAGAUUACCAAGUCUCCAAGUCUUAAUGUAAAAUGCUUAGAAUCUGGAACAGAUUGCCAAAAUGACACUUAGGGAUGACUAAAUGCACAAAGCAGCUUGAAUACCCCUACCACCAGAGAUCAUCCAGUCCAGGAUAAAACCUCUGAAAUGGGCAGCUCUUAUAUAAAGUACAUAUGUCUGGGGACUUAAAAUACAAGAAAACAGUAUCUGAGGAGGAGGAGAUAACACCACUUUCUUCUCUGUUUCCUAGAAAGGAAGGAGAAAAUCCCAAGUUACUCUUUUUUUUUUUUUUUUUUUCCUUUUUUUUUUCCUUUAUUUUUUUUUUCCUUCUGACAAUGGACAGGAGUGGACAGCUCAGGAUUUUUUUUUUUUUUCUGAGCUGGACAAGAACCACUGCAGGUUAAGAUGAUCCCCGUAACCCGACACAGUGGGCUCACUUCAUCCUGCCACAAGUGGUUCUGGCAUUUCUAGUGAGAUUUGCAAUUCUAAGAUGUAACCUUAGAGGUUAAUUGAAGUCUGAAAAUAAGUUUAUUUGGUAGAUAGGCUAGAGGGGUUUAAUUACAUGUUUAGAUCUAUGUUACUUUAUCCAUAAAUUUUACCUGGGAAAGGAAACUGUGGUAUUGGGAACAACAGCUUCAAGCGGUUUGGAUUUGGAAACGGAAACUCACGGGGACUGGCAGAUGGAAAUGAGCUCUGAAUUAAAGGAAUCUCUUUGUUUGUUUUGGGCCCAAAAUAACUGGACUAUGUGUAAGGCCUGCUUUUCUGAGGAUGGGUGCUCAGCAGUUUGGUGACAGGCUGUCAGAAGGAAGCUAUCUGAAAUGCAGGCUGUACACGUCUGGAUUCUUUUUGCCUUCUUUCUCUUUUCUGCCUGGUAUGUCAUAUUCUCCAUGCAGUUUUCCAGAUCAGAGUUACUCUUCCACUUGUUCCCCUUUGCCUCCUGCUGAGUCAAUUCCUUUAUUUUCUACCAUUAUUUGUACUGUAGUCACUCCCGGAAUCUGGGCAAUCUUCCUCAGAAGUCUCCUUGUCUCCCAAGCUCACCGCCAACUCUUCCACUAAAGCUUUUCUUUCUUUGUUCUGCAGAAGAAGAAAAGGCCAGGAAAGUGUGCCGUGACACCCAUUUGGGUGCCAUUGCCCUGUAAUUCUUUACAAACUCGAUACAAACGUAUAGUCACUGAGAAGUGCUACAGUGAGACGUGUAAAGGCUAAAUUGGUUUUAGCACAUGAAAGGGAAGCAAGUGCUGUGGCCUGGUAUCAGGCACCGAGUCCUGGUUUUGGUUUGGACGCUGACUCACUCCCUGAGCUCGGGGAAAUCGUUUCCCUUCUCUGUGCACCUGUUUCCACUCCCCACCUCUAAUUGUCUGUCUGGUUAGGCUGUGAGCUCUUCAGGACACAGCCCAUCUCUCGCUACGUGCGUGCACAACGCCUCGGCACAAUGGAGCCUUGUCUUGGUUGGGGCCUUAGGUGUUAAAGUAAUACAAACAAGAAUAAAAGGUAUGCCCAGACAGCACGGCAAGCUUCCCAGACAUGCUGCCCUGCAAGCAUGUCUGAAACCCGAUGUGCUGGGAGCUGUCUCUGUUCCCAGCCCUCAGCUUCUCUCAGUCGGCCAACAAGGCAUUAACCAGUUCCAGUUACAAUGGGGAGGUGAACGGGCACAGUCCCAGUUCCACUGGGAGCCAGGGUGAAAUCACUAAACCCAUUUUGCAAACUCAAGCAGUGCCCGAUAGGAACCCCCUUCCCGUGCAGCCACGGACCUGCCUGGAGCUUCGCCACCUCCCUGCAGGUGAAAAGCUCCGCACACCAGCCCCGAGCUCAUAUCAGCCGCUUGCAGCCCGAGUCGGCUCCAGUUUGCCAGCGGAGAAGUGAGCAGGAACAUUUUCUCCUUUCCUCCCUCGUCUGAGGAGCUGCGUGCAUGUCUCAGGUUUUUCUUCUUGCCUUCCUGCUUCUGCAUAGCCCCUUCCUCCAGUGGUCUGUUCGUUCCCAGCGCUCCACCCCAUCUUUUGCUUUCCUCCCUGGUUUGAGACAGCAUCUCGCUGGUCCUGCCUCACACUCGGCAAAGGGGUAUUAGAUGGAUUCCCCACAGAGUAUAAAUUGAAUGAAGAGAAGUGGCUGGUUUCCCAGCAAUAAUUUAUCUGAUUAAAAAAAUACUCCCCGAACUCCCCCCUCCUCUGCCGGCCCUACACCCCCUCCAAAAAGAAGACUGGCACUGGGGCUAGUGUUACAGCUGCAUUAUUCAAAUCGCUGGAAGGGGGAUUUAGAUGGGAAAAUGACUGUCAAAAGAUGGCUCUCUGGGGAAAAAAGCGGGAGCUCUGAAAUUUGGAUCAUGGGUUGGUGUGUGGAGGAGGCAGAGAGAGUAAAUAAUUCCGAGUCAAGUACCUCUGUGCUUUAUAGCUGUGCCCUCAUCUAACAAAUAUUUUACAAAUAGGCAUAGAUGCAUCUGCUCACACACGUGUCCCUGCACACACCUCUCGUAGAAAAAGCCAUCAGCAGCAACUCCGUGGCAAAGCAAGCUGCUCCUGCUGGUCCAUGCCUCCUCUCUUUUUUUUUGCCUUGGUUCAGGGCUCAUUCCAAAUAAAAGAAGAAAUCCACUUCACAAAA
Long non-coding RNA from Oxyura jamaicensis (ruddy duck), 6399 nucleotides. RefSeq lists it as uncharacterized. NCBI's taxonomy places the organism in Eukaryota, Metazoa, Chordata, Aves, Anseriformes, Anatidae. The transcript is spliced from 3 exons. The record is from RefSeq and is a predicted model, not a curated record.